This 30-nucleotide non-coding RNA is filed under the name Mus musculus (house mouse). The record is from RNAcentral. Lineage: Eukaryota; Metazoa; Chordata; Mammalia; Rodentia; Muridae.
UGCCAUGAUGAUAAUGGUCUGAACCUUGGA